UUUAUGCGGUCGACAGAAAGGGAAAGGCAGGGGAAAGCAUUUCUCUCAAAACCUAGCAAGGAAAAUCUUCAAUCAAGAGGCCUAGGGAUCGAAAUUGCUAUGCAUGAAUUAGAAAUCAUAACCUCCUAAGUAUUAUCAUCAACAAGAUCAUGUUUAGAUGGGAAAGCAUAGAAGGCAAACGGAAAGGAUAUGAGGAAGCAUGUACGAAACGGGCACUCGAGAUAAUAAGUCAUGAGAAUCAACGGGGUUGCUUGAAUCGGAAUCAUGAAAUAAGAAAAGAGCUCACAAGUCGUUCACCAAUAACCCGAUUGGGGUGGUAGAAAGGCGAAAGUGAUCAAGUCUUGGAAGCGGGUCAACGAUGUGAGGAUUUAGUGAUAUUUUGUUCACUAAGUAUAUGGGUUUCCUUAUUGGGACAAUUAGACUGAAUUAUUUGUAUUUUGGAGUUUAAGUUCAACGUUUGUUUUAGCAAUAUGCUAGUAUGUCAAUGUGGUAACGGGUUAUGUUUGUUUAAAAAAAAAGAGAACUUUGGUUGUUAA
Molecule: long non-coding RNA, 536 nt
Organism: Helianthus annuus (common sunflower)
Lineage: Eukaryota; Viridiplantae; Streptophyta; Magnoliopsida; Asterales; Asteraceae
Exons: 4
Source: RefSeq, a predicted model, not a curated record